This 96-nucleotide non-coding RNA is filed under the name Carlito syrichta (Philippine tarsier). The record is from RNAcentral. Lineage: Eukaryota; Metazoa; Chordata; Mammalia; Primates; Tarsiidae.
UCCUGGUCCUGUGGUAGUGGGUUAUCAGAACUUAUUAACAUUAGUGUCACUAAAGUUGGUAUACAACCCUUCACUGUUAAAAUUUGAUUGGCUAAA